This 270-nucleotide ribosomal RNA is filed under the name uncultured bacterium. RNAcentral's name for it is "partial small subunit ribosomal RNA". It matches the Rfam family "Bacterial small subunit ribosomal RNA", at positions 26 to 286 of the family's 1533-position model. The record is from RNAcentral.
AGAGCGAACGCUGGCGGCGUGCUUAACACAUGCAAGUCGAACGCGCAGCAUUCUGUAGCAAUACAGGGUGUGGGCGCGUGGCGAACGGGUGCGUAACACGUGGAUAACCUUCCUUGAGGUGGGGAAUAACCCAGUGAAAAUUGGGCUAAUACCGCAUAACAUCGCGAUGGCACAUGCUGAUGCGAUCAAAGGCGCAAGUCGCCACAAGAGGGAUCCGCGGCCGAUUAGCUUGUUGGCGAGGUAAUGGCUCACCAAGGCAAUGAUCGGGUA